UUCCGGUUGAUCCUGCCGGAGGCUACCGCUAUUGGAGUUCGAUUAAGCCAUGCGAGUCGAGAGUCUUAGGGACUCGGCGUACCGCUCAGUAACACGUGGGUAACCUGCCCUAUGCUGGGGGAUAACCUCGGGAAACUGAGAAUAAUACCCCAUAGUUCACCACGCCUGGAACGGUGGGUGGAUCAAAGCUCCGGCGGCAUAGGAUGGGCCUGCGACGUAUCAGGUUGUAGGGGGUGUAACGUACCCUCUAGCCAUCAACGCGUACGGGUGUUGGGAGACAUAGCCCGGAGAUGGAUUCUGAGACACGAAUCCAGACCCUACGGGGUGCAGCAGGCGCGAAAACUUGGCAAUGCGAGAAAUCGUGACCAGGGAACUCCAAGUGGCUGGGGUAAGACCCAGUCUUUUCUUGACUCUUCAAAGGUCUUGGAAUAAGAGGUGGGUAAGGACGGUGCCAGCCGCCGCGGUAAUACCGGCGCCUCAAGUGGUAGUCGAUUUUAUUGGGCCUAAAACGUCCGUAGCCUGUUUGGUACAUUCGUGGGUAAAUCAACCAGCUCAACUGGUUGAAUUCUGCGAGCACGGCCAGACUUGGGACCGGGAGAGGUGUGGGGUACGCUCAGGGUAGGGGUAAAAUCCUGUCAUCCUGAGCGGACCACCUGUUGCGAAGGCGCCACACUAGAACGGAUCCGACGGUCAGGGACGAAGCCUAGGGGCACGAACCGGAUUAGAUACCCGGGUAGUCCUAGGUGUAAACGCUGUGGACUUGGUGUUGGGGAUGAUCCGAUCAUUCUCAGUGCCGAAGCGAAGGUGAUAAGUCCACUGCCUGGGGAGUACGGUCGCAAGGCUGAAACUUAAAGGAAUUGGCGGGGGAGCACCGCAACCUGAGGAUUGUGCGGUUUAAUUGGAUUCAACGCCGGA
RNAcentral lists this ribosomal RNA (915 nucleotides) under uncultured marine archaeon. RNAcentral's name for it is "bacterial SSU rRNA". It matches the Rfam family "Archaeal small subunit ribosomal RNA", at positions 1 to 922 of the family's 1478-position model. The record is from RNAcentral.